Molecule: long non-coding RNA, 1040 nt
Organism: Toxorhynchites rutilus septentrionalis
Lineage: Eukaryota; Metazoa; Arthropoda; Insecta; Diptera; Culicidae
Exons: 3
Source: RefSeq, a predicted model, not a curated record
GUUGGUCUCGCUAUUUUUGAGAGGUGCUAUAACGAGCAAUUUUGUGAGAUUCUAUCGGUUUGAGACCUUUGUCCUAUAGAAUCAGUAUGACAGUGGUCUCAAUGUCAUGAGAGAAGUACCUCAUUUUAAGUCGUUUAGAAAUGUAUUCAUCGCCUUGUUGGGUUUGACGACGCAACUAUCAGCGUGUAGUCUCUGCACGGCGAAAGGCGGAUGGUGCAUUUAAGUCCAUCGCCGAUGUAAAAUUUGAUAACUUUGCGAGAAUCAGAUGGGAAAUCUUUGAUGUAGAACGUCGCAAAUUGGAAUGGAUCAAUAAACAAAAGAAUACGUUUCUAAAAUGGAGAUUCAUCCUUCCAGCGGAGUCGGACAUUGUCCCGUAGAUAGGAAACUUCGCACCCGAAACUGGUCGACUUUUAAGACAACUCUAUGGGUCGAUGUGUGACACCCGGAUGCGUUAGUGUUCGGUCAUUGAUACUCGGGCUCGAGUCCAACUCGAAUUAUGAAAACAUAUCCCACAAAUUAUCAUUUCAUCGAUUCCCGAGGGAUGUGACCAUUCGGAUGAAAUAGUUUUGAUUCUUCGGACAGGACCUAAACAGCAAUACUAAAAACAUGUACAUUUGCUCGCUUCACUUCAGUCUAGAUUGUUUCGUGCAUAUCGAUGGCUUGGAAGUACACUAUCGUCGAAAACUGAUACCAACAGCUGUUCCUACUGUCAGAAAGGCCAACGAUUCUCAUGCCUCGGUAAAUCAAAACCGGACAGCUCGCUGAAAAGCAUCCGUAAAAUCCGCGGAAUCGGCCCAGCUUUCUAAUGGGACUGAACAAGACUAUCCCGAGCGGGAUAUUCCGUCAAAGAAGAACGGUAGCAGCAUCAUCAACAUCUCUAAUGAAAAACCUAGCGAUUCGGCCGGUUCUGAUGGCUUAGUUCAAGCACUGCGGCAGGAGGUGUCAAAGAGCCACAGAGAGCUUCAGGAAGCUAAAAUCCGAAUUACCGAAUCACAAUUUCCCCUAUGUUUUGAUUAGGUUUUUAAUCAAAAUAGAUUAUC